Cyprinus carpio carpio is the source of this 1047-nucleotide long non-coding RNA. The record is from Ensembl. NCBI's taxonomy places the organism in Eukaryota, Metazoa, Chordata, Actinopteri, Cypriniformes, Cyprinidae.
AUGGAUUGUUUGUCAAGGCGGAGAAAUGCGUUUUUCAUGCACAGUCUGUUUCUUUUUCUAGGACACAUCAUUUCGACUGAGGGUGUUCGCAUGGAUCCUGAGAAGGUUAAGGCUGUGGUAAAUUGGCCAUCCCCAGAGUCUCGCAAGGCCCUGCAGAGAUUUCUGGGGUUCGCCAAUUUUUACCGGCGUUUCAUUCGCAAUUUCAGCCAACUAGCCGCUCCUCUGACCGCCUUGACCUCCCCUAGUUUGACGUUCAGGUGGUCAAACGCAGCCGAGGCUGCGUUUGCCAAACUGAAAAGCUGCUUUGUUUCAGCUCCCAUUCUCGUCACCCCUGAUCGCUCACGUCAAUUCAUAGUGGAGGUCGACGCGUCAGAGGUGGGGGGUAGGAGCAGUGUUGUCCCCAACGCGCAUCCUCAGACGGAAAGGUGCAUCCGUGCGCGUAUUAUUCUCACCGUUUAUCUCCUGCGGAAGUUAAUUAUGACAUUGGCAAUCGAGAGUUGUUGGCAGUCAAACUUGCACUGGAAGAAUGGCGUCACUGGCUUGAAGGGUCGGGUGUACCUUUCAUUGUAUGGACGGACCAUAAGAAUCUCGAAUACAUUAGAACCGCCAAAAGACUUAACUCCAGGCAGGCUCGGUGGGCAUUGUUUUUCGGUCGUUUCGAUUUUACACUUUCUUACCGGCCGGGUUCCAAAAACAUCAAACCCGAUGCUUUAUCCCGUCUUUUUGAGCGUUCCGAUCGUACUGCUACUCCCGAGCCCAUUUUCACCGGGGACCAUCAUUAUCUCCGCGCUCAGAUGGGAGGUCGAAUCGAAGGUGUUGACUGCCUUAGAAGGGGUAACGCCCCCGGCUCGUUGCCCACCGAACCGAUUGUUUGUGCCGGAGGGGUUACGGUCAGACGUUCUCCAGUGGGGUCAUUGUUCCAGUGUUGCUUGUCACCCAGGGGUUAGUAGAACUAGGUUUCUAGUCAAGCAACGAUUUUGGUGGCCUGGUAUGGCUCGUGACGUCCCACGACUUCGUCUUGGCUUGUUCAGUUUGCGCUAUUGGUAA